Dermatophagoides farinae (American house dust mite) is the source of this 480-nucleotide non-coding RNA. NCBI's taxonomy places the organism in Eukaryota, Metazoa, Arthropoda, Arachnida, Sarcoptiformes, Pyroglyphidae. The record is from RefSeq and is a predicted model, not a curated record.
CUGUUUUUUUUCAGCAAACAGAAAAAACUUUUAUUCAUCAUUCAUUCAUUCAGUUAAUACGAUAAUGAAAUAAUGGAAGUUAGUGGAAAUCGAUACUUUUUUUUCCACACAGACACAAAACCAGAAAUCCAUGUAAAUUGGCGUUAACAACAACAUGAUGGUUUGAUGAUGAUGAUCAUGAGUGUUGAUCUUAGUGAUCACCACUAUCACCACUCAUCAUUUACCUUUUUUUUCUGUGCCGCACCUUUUUCAGAGGUCUUUUUUUUAUCAUUUUAUCAAAAUUUUAUCAAAUGACCAAUUCGAUGCUAAUGUUUUAAUGGUUAAUCUUGAGCGGUAUUUUUCAUUUCUUCAUUUCUUGUCACUCGUACACCUGUGUGUGUGUGGAUCAGUCUUUUUUUGGAAAAUUGACAAGAAACAAAACAAAAAAAAAUUUCUAGAUUAUCAAAUUAAAUUAAGAGAUGCAAUUUCUUUAUCUCUCAA